RNAcentral lists this ribosomal RNA (347 nucleotides) under uncultured bacterium. RNAcentral describes it as "partial 16S ribosomal RNA". It matches the Rfam family "Bacterial small subunit ribosomal RNA", at positions 338 to 682 of the family's 1533-position model. The record is from RNAcentral.
CCUACGGGAGGCAGCAGUGAGGAAUAUUGGUCAAUGGCCGUAAGGCUGAACCAGCCAAGUAGCGUGAGGGAAGACUGCCCUAUGGGUUGUAAACCUCUGUUAUGCGGGGAGAAAGGGGGCCACGUGUGGAUGUUUGCAGGUACCGCAUGAAUAAGGACCGGCUAAUUCCGUGCCAGCAGCCGCGGUAAUACGGAAGGGCCGGGCGUUAUCCGGAUUUAUUGGGGUUAAAGGGAGCGUAGGCCGGUCUUUAAGCGUGCCGUGAACUUUUGUGGCUCAACCCUGAGAGGGCGGGGCGAACGGGCGACCUUGAGUGCGCGGCAGGCCGGCGGCAUUCGUGGUGUAGCGGU